RNAcentral lists this ribosomal RNA (453 nucleotides) under uncultured marine eukaryote. Its description in RNAcentral is "bacterial SSU rRNA". It matches the Rfam family "Eukaryotic small subunit ribosomal RNA", at positions 127 to 561 of the family's 1831-position model. The record is from RNAcentral.
GGGCGACCGUAGGUGGAUAUGUGCGGAAAUCCUGGAGCUAAUACGUGCCAUUGACGCGGCGACGUUCUGGCGAACGGAGCCCAGCCUUUAUUAAACCGACCGGAGGCUUUCUUGCGAAGCCUUCCUACGGUGACUCCGGGUAACCGACAGUGGAUCGCAAGGCCACCAAGCCCGCGACGCAUCUUUCAAGGGUCUGCCUCAUCAACUAGACGGUUCGCAAAACGCCGACCGUGGUGGCGACGGGUGACGGAGAAUUAGGGUUCGAUUCCGGAGAGGGAGCCUGAGAGAUCGCUACCACAUCCAAGGAAGGCAGCAGGCGCGGAAAUUACCCACUCCUCGUACGGGGAGGUAGUGACGAUAGAUAACGACGCGGUCUUCUCGGAGGAGGAACCACGAUCGGAAUGAGCGCAGAUCAGAUCCUUCGUAUAUCGAGGAUCGAUUGGAGGGCAAGUC